UAGUCAUAUGCUUGUCUCAAAGAUUAAGCCAUGCAUGUCUAAGUAUAAACUGCUUAUACUGUGAAACUGCGAAUGGCUCAUUAAAUCAGUUAUAGUUUAUUUGAUGGUACCUCUACUCGGAUAACCGUAGUAAUUCUAGAGCUAAUACGUGCGCAAAUCCCGACUUCUGGAAGGGACGUAUUUAUUAGAUAAAAGGCCAGCCGAGCUCACGCUCGACCUGCGGUGACUCAUAAUAACUUCACGAAUCGCACGGCCUCGCGCCGGCGAUGUUUCAUUC
This 277-nucleotide ribosomal RNA is filed under the name uncultured eukaryote. RNAcentral describes it as "partial 18S ribosomal RNA". It matches the Rfam family "Eukaryotic small subunit ribosomal RNA", at positions 21 to 300 of the family's 1831-position model. The record is from RNAcentral.